Molecule: long non-coding RNA, 435 nt
Organism: Aedes aegypti (yellow fever mosquito)
Lineage: Eukaryota; Metazoa; Arthropoda; Insecta; Diptera; Culicidae
Exons: 2
Source: RefSeq, a predicted model, not a curated record
CCCGACGGCAGUCUGACUGAAAAAACCGACAGGCAUGUUUACAAAAAUUAAUGUCUUACUCAUUGAAUGUUCAGUUUCCCGUUUUUUCCUGUUUUCACGUACAUAUUUGGUUGAAAAUUAUCAAAAUUCACCAGUUCAACAUAAAACUUGCAGCGCAGUCGAUAAAAAGAACAUUUCAGAACAUUCUUGCAGCUGUGUGGAUGAAUAAUCCAAAUGCGAACGUAGCUGGUAAAUCCACGAAUAAUGGCGCAGCCUUGGGCGUAUUUCACAAUCAAAAAAAAAUGUCGGAGCAGAUGCCGGAAUCAAUGAAUUUACGAGUGGAAUUACAGUGCGGGUCGUGUAAUUUAUACCUUUAUUAAUGUGGCACGAAAAAGUUGUAACUUGGUUCGGGAAGUGCACAUAAAAUAAAUCUACAAUCGUCGUUAUGAUCAAUUA